RNAcentral lists this ribosomal RNA (498 nucleotides) under Triticum aestivum (bread wheat). RNAcentral's name for it is "partial small subunit ribosomal RNA". The record is from RNAcentral. Lineage: Eukaryota; Viridiplantae; Streptophyta; Magnoliopsida; Poales; Poaceae.
AUGGCAUGUUUUAAGCUGCCCCGAGGUCUUUGCGAUCACAUUAAUUCCUUGCUAAGGAAAUUUUGGUGGGGCAGCAAGGACGGCGAGCGCAAAACUGCAUGGGUCUCUUGGGAGACGAUGACCAGGCCGAAACGGGAUGGUGGACUAGGCUUCCGCGACAUCGAGAUUUUGAAUCUCGCACUGUUGGCACGACAAGCUUGGCGAAUGCUCAUCAACCCAGAAUCACUAAGUACUCAGGUGCUUAAGGCAGUAUACUACCCGAAAGGAACGAUUUUGUCCGCUGCUCUGGGGACGCGCCCUUCGACGGUUUGGAGGUCUAUAUGUGAGGGUAGGGAUGUUCUUAAUCUGGGUAUCAUUCGGUGCAUCGGAGAUGGAAAGAAUACAAAGUUUUUUGAUAACUGGCUUCCCAAAGACCAUAAACUCAAACCCAUAUGUGUAAAGUCAGCUAUGCCACCGGUGUAUGUGAGCGAAUUAAUUAAUCAAACAACCCGUGCAUGA